This 1867-nucleotide long non-coding RNA is filed under the name Sus scrofa (pig). RNAcentral describes it as "lncRNA (ENSSSCG00065038621.1)". The record is from RNAcentral. Lineage: Eukaryota; Metazoa; Chordata; Mammalia; Artiodactyla; Suidae.
GGGUUGAAUCGGAGCUGUAGCCACCGGCCUAUGCCAGAGCCACAGCAACGAGGGAUCCGAGCCGCGUCUGCAACCUACACCACAGCUCACGGCAACGCUGGAUCCUUAACCCACUGAGCAAGGGCAGGGACCGAACCCGCAACCUCAUGGUUCCUAGUUGGAUUCGUUAACCACUGCGCCACGACGGGAACUCCACUUUCCCACUUUUAAAACAAAAUGUUGGCCAGUACCCGUGGUCACUAGCUUGCUCUGCUCCCCAAUGACCAAGCCUUUUCUUUCUGUACUUUCAGCACCUAAAAAUUCUUGGCAGAAAGGAAGCAAUCAAUAUAUGUCUGGCACGAUGACCCAGUGAGGCUCGUCCAGAAUGAAUGGACCUGAAACUACCAUAUAUAGAACAGCUGAUGCAACUGGGGAGGAGUUUUAGCCUUGGAAAUGAAUAGUGAGAGACAAAAUUGUUGCAAAUAUCAAGCUAGGGCACGCGGUCUGCGCAACUAUUUAGGGCUGCUUUUAGGUAAAAUACACAUUUGGCAAUUGACCUUGGUCCCCACUAAUCCUGUUCAUCCCUCUACCUUCCAUUUCUUUACUUGCCCAGCCCCUAAAGGCAUUUAGCUUUCAUUUUUGUAAGAGAAAUUUGGGCUUUGCCCAAAUGGAAGUCCCAAAUGUCAGCUUAUUAGUUAAGAAUAUUAGCCAACUCAGGGUUUUUCCAGGGAUUAAAAUGAAACAGAGUAUGUCAUGAAAGUGCUUGCCAAAACAUCUGGCAAUGGGUUCAAGAAAGACACCAUUAUCAUGGAGGUUUCGAUGCUUUCUAUAAAGCACUAGAAUAUUACUUCACAUUGUGACCCUAAAUUUUAUACUCACUAUAUUCCCUAAAGAAUACCUUAAUAAAUAUUUUACGACCAGGAAAAAAAUGCAGUUACAAGGAGUCUGAUUUUGGCCUAAUAAACCAUACUUCUAUAACAUUCCUAACAGGAAUGAGAUUAUAAACCUGAAUGUUCAAAUAAAACAUUCCUCAGGGGACAUCCAAGAGGCUUUAUGGUCUCUGCUCUUCAGACUCUACAACUGCACACACAUGGAAAACUACACGUGUGAUGUACAUUAGAAUGUGGCCAUCUCCAUGGAUAUGGAAAGAUACACUAAAUAGAGUAAGUGAGAAAAAAUUGUACAAAUAUACAAUGGGAGUUUUUUUCCUUUUUAGGGCCACUCCUAUAGCAUAUGAAAGUUCCCAGGCUAGGGGUCAAAUUGGAGCUGGAUCUGCAGCUGCCAGCCUAUGCCACAGUCACAGCAAUGCCAGAUCAAAGCUGCCUCUUCGACCUAUACCACAGCUCAUGGCAAUGCCAGGUUCUUAACCCCCUGAGAAAGGCCAAGGAUGGAACCCGCAUCUUCAUGGAUCCUAGUUGGGUUCAUUUCCGCUGAGCCACAAUGGGAACUCCUGAGUUUUUUCCUUUUUUGAAAAAGGAUAUAGAUACGUGCUUAGAACAUUUCCAGAAGGGCAUAUACAACCUUGGGACUGAGCUAUUUACAACGCCCACCCCCCUUAUUUUGGCCACAUGCAUGGCAUGUGGAAGUUCCUGGGCCAGGGAUCAAACCCGUGACAGCAAUGACCCAAGCCACAGAAGUGAUAACAGAUCUUUUAAGCUGCUGAGCCACCCCCACAUACCAUUCUAUUUUGAUUUUUCCCCCUUACUAGCAGCGUUAUUACCCUUAAAAAAAGGACCGAAUAAUUUGGUUUGGCCAAAACCUUCUGGUCUGAGCUUUGCUUUGCAAACACCGCCCAAGAUAAACUUUAUAUAUUUCCUCAUAACUUCAACAUCAAGGUCCAAGAACUUUAAUUAGACUACUCAACUUUCCAGCCUACCUUCCCAUCACC